GUCCCCAUCGUCUAGUCAGGCCCAGGACAACAGACUUUCGAUCUGUCGACCGGGGUUCGAAUCCCCGUGGGGACG
RNAcentral lists this transfer RNA (75 nucleotides) under Candidatus Omnitrophota bacterium. RNAcentral's name for it is "Candidatus Omnitrophica bacterium tRNA-Glu". It matches the Rfam family "tRNA". From Rfam's summary of the family: Transfer RNA (tRNA) molecules are approximately 80 nucleotides in length. Their secondary structure includes four short double-helical elements and three loops (D, anti-codon, and T loops). The record is from RNAcentral. Lineage: Bacteria; Pseudomonadati; Candidatus Omnitrophota.